GGUUCUGUGGCUCACUUGGUUAAAGUGCCUGUCCUGUAGACAGGAAAUCCUGGAUUCAAAUCCCAGUGGUGCUU
Molecule: transfer RNA, 74 nt
Filed under: Lepisosteus oculatus (spotted gar)
Lineage: Eukaryota; Metazoa; Chordata; Actinopteri; Semionotiformes; Lepisosteidae
Rfam family: tRNA
About the family: Transfer RNA (tRNA) molecules are approximately 80 nucleotides in length. Their secondary structure includes four short double-helical elements and three loops (D, anti-codon, and T loops).
Source: Rfam by way of RNAcentral